GGGCCUGUAGCUUAGUUGGUAAAGCGUUGCAUUCGCAUUGCAAAGACCAGCGGUUCGAAUCCGCUCAGGUCCACCA
RNAcentral lists this transfer RNA (76 nucleotides) under candidate division WWE3 bacterium CG08_land_8_20_14_0_20_40_13. RNAcentral describes it as "tRNA-Ala". It matches the Rfam family "tRNA". Rfam says of the family: Transfer RNA (tRNA) molecules are approximately 80 nucleotides in length. Lineage: Bacteria; candidate division WWE3. RNAcentral also lists the same sequence under 2 other names. The record is from RNAcentral.